Molecule: long non-coding RNA, 7061 nt
Organism: Syngnathus typhle (broad-nosed pipefish)
Lineage: Eukaryota; Metazoa; Chordata; Actinopteri; Syngnathiformes; Syngnathidae
Exons: 2
Source: RefSeq, a predicted model, not a curated record
UGAAAAGAACAAAUUAAGACUACAUUUAGAACACAGAUGCAAGAAUUAAAGAAUUGAUUAAUACCGUCAGCUAAAAUGUAGCUUGAAAACAGAAUGAGUUUGCAGGACUUACAGUAUGCAAAAGAGAUCAAUGUCACUAUGGGAAUUUGAUAAACGAAGGUUACUUGGGAAUGAAUGACAACUACAUUUGUAGACACUCUUAUGAGUUUGGUGUCCCAGUCUGUCCCAGUGCUCUGGAACUCGAUCCCAAGACUCCACCUGCAGCCUUGACCAACAAGAUAACGGUCCCUGGCUCUGAGCAUUGCAAGAACAAAGAGACUGUUUUUGUGAUUGGGAGGAGGCAAGCACUGUUUCCCGGAAGAAAAACAUCAUCCUCAGAGAUGAAUACUGCUGUUGAGAGGUGGAGGAGCUCACAAGAUGAAAAUGAACAUUUUGGAAAAUUGACUCGAGUGUUGGACAGGUUAGCUCUGAGACGACUAAAGCAGAACUUGAGACAAUGAGCUGCUGCGAAAGACACGUGAAACAUGAAGUGUCCAACAACCGAACUGGACUCCUUGUUGAAGCAUUACCAAACUUAGUGGGGCUUGGGUCAAAGUGGAUGGAAGCUUGCUUGGCACUGGGUUUGACAUAACUGAGGAGUUUUGAUAAUAUGGGAAUAAUGUGUGGAAUAGAUUGGGGUAAUACAGAUAGUAUUGUCACAGAUGGAGUGUGGAAUGGAGUGAGGCGACCAAAUGCAGCUUGGACCAGGGUUUAUUGCAGGAACUCAAAAGACAUACUCGGCAACUAACAUAACUUACUGACAAAAUCAAUAACAGGAACCGAACAGCGACGUGAGACAAAACGGACAGGGUGGCAUUCCAAGACAGCAGCAACAGCAUGCAAUGCUCCGAACUCGAGUGGCACACAAACAGAACUUAAAUACAAUACAGGCAACAAGAGGCAGGUGAGUGUGAUUACACUAAUCAAGGGCACACAGGAAGGGAGGGGCGAGCAACGAUGACACAACCAAAACUGGGGACGAGACAUGACAGAACCCCCCCCCCCCCACAAGGGACGGCUCCCGACGUCCCAAAAACCCAACCCCCCACGGCGACACGCGGGGGGGCAGCGCACCAGUCCAGACGACCCUACUGGUCUCUGAAAUAGCCUGAACCGCGCACGACGGCAACUUGGGGCACAAAACCGCACUCGGGCGGCGACCUGGGGCACAGAACCGCACUCGGGCGGCGACCUGGGGCACAGAACCGCACUCGGGCGGCGACCUGGGGCACAGAACCGCACUCGGGCGGCGACCUGGGGCACCGAACCGCACUCGGGCGGCGACCUGGGGCACCGAACUGCACUCGGGCGGCGACUUGGGGCACCGAACCGCACUCGGGCGGCGACUUGGGGCACCGAACCGCACUCGGGCGGCGACUUGGGGCACCGAACCGCACUCGGGCGGCGACUUGGGGCACCGAACCGCACUCGGGCGGCGACUUGGGGCACCGAACCGCACUCGGGCGGCGACUUGGGGCACCGAACCGCACUCGGGCGGCGACUUGGGGCACCGAACCGCACUCGGGCGGCGACUUGGGGCACCGAACCGCACUCGGGCGGCGACUUGGGGCACCGAACCGCACUCGGGCGGCGACUAGGGGAUCCGAACCGCACUCGGGCGGCGACUAGGGGAACCGAACCGCAAACGCCGCAGCAGUGGGACGAUCGCGGGUCCUGGCUUGAAGUCGGGCGACGUCAAAGGGGCCUGCGACGCUGGGGUGGAGCCCGAUGGCGACCGCGAGUCUGAUGACGCCGGGAGGCACUCCAAUGGCGGCCGCGGGUCCGGCGUCGCGGCAGUGCAGUCCGAUCGCGGCCGCAAAGCUGCUGUCGCAAGAAGCACUCCGAUGGCGACCGCGAGUCUGAUGACGCCGGGGGGCACUCCGAUGGCGAACGCGUGUCCGGCCUCGCGGCAGCAAAGUCCGAUGACUUCCGCAGCCGAUGACGCCGGGAGGAACUCCGAUGGCGGCUGGAGCAAGGUCCAAAUGGCGGCCGUGGAGCGAAGUCCGAUGGCGCUGGAACCUUCUCGGACGAUGGACAGGGAUCGGGCGUCGCAGUGGGAGCUGAUGGUGGAAGAAGGUCCAAGCGCUGGUCGCUGUAGUGGUCGGAGCAUUCUGUCACGAAUGGGGUGGUGGAGAUGGAGCGAGGCGACCAAGUGCAGCUUGGACCAGGGUUUAUUGCAGCAAACUCAAAAGACAUACUCGGCAACUAACAUAACUUACUGGCAAAAUCAAUAACAGGAACCGAACAGCCACUCAAAAAAAAACGGGCAGCGUGGCAUUCCAUGACAACAGCAUGCACAAUGCUCCGACCACAAGUGGUACACAAACAGAACUUAAAUACAACACAGGCAACAAGAGGCAGGUGAGCAUGAUUACACUAAUCAUGGGCACACAGGAAAGGAGGGGCGACGCGAACAGAAACCAUGGCAACCUACACACAGCAAAACUGGGGACGAGACAUGACAAGUAUACUAAAAUGGUAGGAAGCAAGCAGUGGGAUCAGAUAUUUUUGAUCGUCAAGCUUAAAAGGAGUUGAAAUUUAGCCAAGUAAAAUUUUUCAAUUGGGAAUUGUAAGACAUUUGGACCAAAUUGAAUUCAGUCACAAGGGGUCUAUGUUGCUCAAUGUACCUGAUCAAUACAAUAGUUAUUAGUUAAUUACACCUCAGUGGAAAUUAUGUUGUCAGAGAGUUGUGUCCAUUAAAAGGAGAGUUAAAGGGGCUGUAAGAACUUUUGACCUUUAGAUUAAUUAUGCAUAAAAAGCGACAGUUAACAACAGGGGUCACCAAACUACGGCCCGCGGGCCGGAUACGGCCCACGGGACCGUUUAAUCCGGCCCGCCAACCCUGAACAAAUUGUAUUAUUAAACUUUUUUUUUUGGGUCAUUUUGCCUGCAAUGACUGCGUUUCCCCAGUAGAUGGGGAAGCGCUCGCCUGCGCAUUUACUACCGGAAGCCGUGUCAGAAAGCUCGGUGCACACUCACAAGUGCGUGUACGUACAUGGCGCACUCGUGCUCUAUUUGUAUCAGUCCCGAAUUUAGAGCGUGGGCUGUGACGACAGCAUUCUUGUAAUUCGCGCGCUGAGCUUUCUGAUGCAGUUUUGCGCUAAAGCCACCCACAAACCUUCCCCUGGAAUCCUUCCAUUAAAAUGAGUCGCCCAAGGAAAAGCAAGGUGGACACAGUGCCGAGCGUUUAAAAGAGAGUGGCCAAUUUGGCUCGACGUACGCGACGUGACGUUCAGCCACAUGAACGUCAACAUCAACCCGUCACAGAUCGAGGUAAACGGACCAACACCUCGGAUCUCGCCUAAGAAUUGCCACAACAAAUUUUACUCCAGACUAUGACGCACUAGCAAACUUUAACAAAAAAGACAGCGGUGUCUACAAGCCUACUAGAACCUACAAAAGGAUUAUAAGGAAGGAACACAAGAACUUUAAGAGACUGCUCAUAUGUGUCAGAGAGAUUCUGCUCUGACAACUGAGCUGAACUUUUAUCUGUUAAGAUUGUGCAUGGCACAACAGAAAGUUAAUGCUCCAUGGCUUUUUUUUCUAUGAAGAACCCAGAGAGAGUUAUUUAGUUAUUAUUUGUUUCCUGUUUUUUCUGUGAAGAACUCAGAGAGGGUUAUUUAGUUAUUAUUUAUUUCAUUAAUAAUGUUAUUAUUUGUUUCUUGACUUUUUUUCUGUAAAGAACCUGGAAAGGGUUAUUAAAUAACCGUUAUUUGGUUAUGUGUGGCUUUCUGGAAAACAAUAAAAUUUUUAAGCUCCCCUACGAUCGUCACACUUUUUCUGUUACAAACUGACGCCGGACCCCCAUCAGAGAAGGGAAAAGUUAUGUGGCCCUCACAGGAAAAAGUUUGGGGACCCCUGGUUAACAACAUGACAAAGUGAAACAUCAGACAAAGUAAAGCGCCAGAGGAAUUAGUCUGACUAUUUAUUUUUUGCUUUUUGAAAAUAAUUGAUUAGGAUAAUUUUUUGAGGAGCCAUCUGAUGCUGGAUGCUCCCCAAUAACACAGACCCAUACUUAGCCUCUCGAGUAGAAAUAUUUAUUGAUAAUUUUAUUGAAACUUGGAUUGAUGUAUUUACGAAAGAUUUAAUUGGCGAGACUGUCCAAACAGGUAGAAUUCUUUUUAGGAUUCAAUGUUUGCUUGCUCACUGGCAUACUAAAUUUGCUUGUUGUGUGAUGAGAGUUGGCUGUAGGUGAAUGAAUGAGCGCCCGUGUGUCUGUGAGUGUGUGGGUGCGUGCGUGCGCAAUAUGAUUGGCCAAGAUAGUUUGGAGUUGGGGUGUUGUGAUCACGAUAGAGGAUAAAAUUCCUCUCACCUGAAAGUAUAGUACAGAUUGGAAUACCUAGGAUUUGAUGAAUGAUCAGGGGUACCAUUGACGAUAAGAUGGUUCAAUGCUGAAGGCCUGUCCGUUUCAGUCCUAUGACCGGACACGACUGGAUCAGCUAGUCCAGCUACGAUCAGUAUGAUACUGUGCCGGCACGCUUUGUUGGUCCCUUUUGAUCCCUGAUGACACAAUUUAACACAUUGUAUGAAUGUGUCAAAGCGGGGAGAGUGAGUGUAAAUGAGUAAGUAGAAUCAAUUUGUAAAUUAUGAGAUUCAAUGUGUUUUCAAAUGUACUUGUUUUUGAAGCCUCAACAGGGCAUGUAAGAAUUCAACAUACAGUGAUGGAAGGAGCAGAAGAAGGAUCUCGUAAGGAAGGGAGUGAACGAGAGGCAACAACCUGGAAUGGAUACAUUGCGUGGUAACAAUUUAGAGAUGAUAAAGUUUAACAUGUAUUUAUUUUUUUUAAGACAAACUGCAAACGGUGUCGAAUCAUACAGCUACAAGAUAAGCAACAAACAUUUAGAAGGUCAUUUAAUGUAGGAGAUAAAUAGACAAAUUACAAGGAAUAGGGAAUAUGUUUGAUAAAAGAAUAAUAACUAGAAAAUGCAAUUUCUGGAGAAAUUGCGUGUGAAGGUGAAGAAACUGAAUAACUUCUGGGGGUAUGCUGCAGAAUGAUGUUGGAAUGAGUUGAAUUACUUGAAAAAUGUAGAAAUUAGAGGUGAAAAACGAAAUUUUGUGAAAUUUUGCAGAAAUUUUAAAAAUCACGUGAAUUAUUUUUAUUUAGCAAUUUUGGGAAUGUCGAGAAUCCUUCCGAAUGUGAUUUGAAUGUGCUGAAUUAUACGAAUUUCAAACUGGAACGACGUAAAUGUGAAAUGUUGAAUGUGCCAUUCAGAAUGAAUGGGGAAAAAUUUGUCGUGAAUUUUGCGAAAACGGAAUAUUUUUAGAACGAGAAAAAUGGAAGCCCUCAUCUCGUGAAUAUUUGGAAUACGUCAAAAGUGGAAUGGAGUGAAUCAGUUGAAUUAUGUGUAAGUAGUAGAAGGACAGAAAAGUGAGGAGAAUAAAAUAGAAGAAGAAGAAGUGAAUGGUGUAAAAUAACAUAAGUGUGAAGGACUAUUAUUAAAUAUUAUGAAUAUUAAAACAAAUUUAGCAGUUGAACCAUGAACCAUUUUGGGAAAAUGCUGAAUGAUUUGAACAUGAAUUGAAUUGAACAUGAGAUAUAGAUAACUGCAAGAUACACUGAAUUCGAAUUGGGUUCAAGCCCUCCCUCUCGCAUUGAUGUGUGUGCAUAUGUCUGUUAAUGCCCGAACUGGGCACACUCGUUUUGAGUUGCAGAAAGGUUGUUGUUUUCCUGGACCAAUUUCGGCCCUUCCAGUUGCUGAUCCGGAUGGUGGUUUGCUGAGCACACUGCAGCGGACCCAGAUGGGGCCGCCGAGAUUCAAAUCACCCCAACUAUCUGGCUGAAAGUCCUGAAGAGAAAGUGGACAGAGCCUCGGUGGACUGGACCUUUUGCAGUGGUGGAGCGCACAUCGCAUGCCGUCCGGCUGGCCGGCAAAGGAGACACGUGGUAUCAUCUCUCCCAGUGUGCCCCUGUGAAGGAUUCUUGCAUAGAUCCAGAUCCGCCAUCGACAGCGUCCCCACUCCCAAUUGAAAAAGAGGCGGAAUAAUCCUCUUCCCCUUGGUGGCCAGGUAGUCUACCCUGAGCCAUUGAAGACCAAGACUGCACAGCAGCUGUUUUCAGGUUCCUUCCGGACGGAGCAGAGCUGCAAAGGGGGUAAGAACUGUGCUUACCCUCUACCAGUGGGCGUGCCAAGCCCCCAACGGCUGAACUACUACGAGCAAGUGUUAUCUCGGACUAAUGUUAUUGAUAACACUGUGGUCGCCUAAGGCAAAAGGACCGUGUGAGCCUUUCCCUGCAUGCCGCAGGUUUUUCACUCACACACUCAAGUUGAACAGGAGAAUUGAGGUUAGACCUCCUCCUCACGGCGGUUUCUUGCUGACAUUGAAGUUUUUGAUCAUGUAUCACCUUUUGCAACCCCCACCCUGUCCUCCCUCAUUUACUCUCUUAAUGUUAGGUAUUUGUGCUCUUGCUCUCUUAAUCAUGUCUCCACUGAUAUGGCUCGAAUUGCAGCCUUCCCUCGAAUUGAUACAAAUUUCUGCCGCACAUUCUAAUGACACCUGCACGGACAUUGAUACUCUCAUGCUUACAGCCGCCAUUAUUCCCCCAACCCCGACAUAAGAUUGACUUCUCAGAUGAUCCAAUAUUCCCGCGUUCAUGACGUACUUUGUUAGUUUGUCCUUGUCUUUUGGUUGACCUCUGUCGAGGUCAAAAGGGGGACUGAAAAGGGAGCAACAGCAAUGUCUAAAUGUUUUAUAUUAAUUUUAUAUUAAUUUAUACAAACAUAGUUGCUCUAUCAGAGCACAGACACGGCACACACAGCUUGGUAACUUUUCCAUUACACAUAAGGCAGAGCUCCUUAACGUCAUGACACAUUGAUACAAAACAUUUAGUAGAUAACAAGUCAUUCUUAUGAGGAUAUGUUUUUCCUUCUUUUCCCCUCCCCUUCCGUAUUCCUGCUUGCGGACAGUAUAAAAUCUUCUGAUCUGGAGUCUGACGUUGUUGUUCUCAUCUACUGAAGUGCACUUGUACUGACUGCCGUGAAGCAACCCAAGCUCUUGCAAAUAAAGAACCAACUAUUACUCCA